This 274-nucleotide ribosomal RNA is filed under the name uncultured bacterium. RNAcentral describes it as "partial 16S ribosomal RNA". It matches the Rfam family "Bacterial small subunit ribosomal RNA", at positions 523 to 796 of the family's 1533-position model. The record is from RNAcentral.
AUACGGAGGAUCCAAGCGUUAUCCGGAUUUAUUGGGUUUAAAGGGUGCGCAGGCGGCCUUAUAAGUCAGUGGUGAAAUCUCCCGGCUCAACCGGGAAACUGCCAUUGAUACUGUAAGGCUAGAAUACAGACGAGGUAGGCGGAAUGUAGCAUGUAGCGGUGAAAUGCUUAGAUAUGCUACAGAACACCAAUCGCGAAGGCAGCUUACCAGACUGUAAUUGACGCUAAGGCACGAAAGCGUGGGGAACGAACAGAAUUAGAUACCCCAGUAGUCC